CCUACGGGUGGCAGCAGUCGAGAAUCAUUCACAAUGGGGGAAACCCUGAUGGUGCGACGCCGCGUGAGCGAUGAAGUAUUUCGGUAUGUAAAGCUCUAUCAGCAGGGAAGAAAAUGACGGUACCUGACUAAGAAGCCCCGGCUAACUACGUGCCAGCCGCCGCGGUAAUACGUAGGGGGCCAGCGUUAUCCGGAUUUACUGGGUGUAAAGGGAGCGUAGACGGCGGUGCAAGCCAGAUGUGAAAGCCCGGGGCUCAACCCCGGGACUGCAUUUGGAACUGUGCUGCUAGAGUGUCGGAGAGGCAGGCGGAAUUCCUGGUGUAGCGGUGAAAUGCGUAGAUAUUAGGAGGAACACCAGUGGCGAAGGCGGCCUGCUGGACGAUGACUGACGUUGAGGCUCGAAAGCGUGGGGAGCAAACAGGAUUAGAUACCCGGGUAGUC
Molecule: ribosomal RNA, 440 nt
Filed under: uncultured bacterium
Lineage: Bacteria
Description: partial 16S ribosomal RNA
Rfam family: Bacterial small subunit ribosomal RNA
Source: RNAcentral